UGCUGACGUUUCCAGUUACCAUGCAGGGAGACAGGUAGGAGGAGAUCAUCAUCUGGAUUCUGGCAAAGAGAUUUGCAGAGUGUCGGGUAACCGGCUAAGAGAUCUGCAAAGUGUCAGUUGAAGACGACGGGAGGAGUCGCAGAGGCAGCAACGACUGGAGGAUAGCAUGCAGGAGUGGGUGAUCCCUGAAUAGCUGCCCUGGGAGGAGAGCUGCGGACACAUGCUCCAAAUGUUGGGACAUAAGUAUUCCUAUCAGGAGAUGCGGUAAAGA
Long non-coding RNA from Pseudophryne corroboree (corroboree frog), 271 nucleotides. RefSeq lists it as uncharacterized. The record is from RefSeq and is a predicted model, not a curated record. Lineage: Eukaryota; Metazoa; Chordata; Amphibia; Anura; Myobatrachidae. The transcript is spliced from 3 exons.